GACGAACGCUGGCGGCGGGCUUAACACAUGCAAGUCGAACGGAAAGGCCCUGCUUUUGUGGGGUGCUCGAGUGGCGAACGGGUGAGUAACACGUGAGUAACCUGCCCUUGACUUUGGGAUAACUUCAGGAAACUGGGGCUAAUACCGGAUAGGAGCUCCUGCUGCAUGGUGGGGGUUGGAAAGUUUCGGCGGGUGGGGAUGGACUCGCGGCUUAUCAGCUUGUUGGUGGGGUAGUGGCUUACCAAGGCUUUGACGGGUAGCCGGCCUGAGAGGGUGACCGGCCACACUGGGACUGAGAUACGGCCCAGACUCCUACGGGAGGCAGCAGUGGGGAAUAUUGCACAAUGGGCGGAAGCCUGAUGCAGCAACGCCGCGUGCGGGAUGACGGCCUUCGGGUUGUAAACCGCUUUCGCCUGUGACGAAGCGUGAGUGACGGUAAUGGGUAAAGAAGCACCGGCUAACUACGUG
Molecule: ribosomal RNA, 468 nt
Filed under: uncultured bacterium
Lineage: Bacteria
Description: partial 16S ribosomal RNA
Rfam family: Bacterial small subunit ribosomal RNA
Source: RNAcentral